GGUUCUGUAAUUCAGUGGUAGAAUGCCUGCUUUACAUGUCAAGCGCAGUAUGUCGUGGGUUCGAUCCCCACCGGAGUCA
This 79-nucleotide transfer RNA is filed under the name Phakopsora pachyrhizi. RNAcentral describes it as "tRNA-Val". It matches the Rfam family "tRNA". From Rfam's summary of the family: Transfer RNA (tRNA) molecules are approximately 80 nucleotides in length. Their secondary structure includes four short double-helical elements and three loops (D, anti-codon, and T loops). Lineage: Eukaryota; Fungi; Basidiomycota; Pucciniomycetes; Pucciniales; Phakopsoraceae. The record is from RNAcentral.